UUCCGUAGGUGAACCUGCGGAAGGAUCAUUCGCACAUGUUCCAGCAUACUAUUGUUGAAUUGUUCUGUGAGAUUUGUGUGGGGGUGUCGAUUGCGUUUCCCCCCAUGUGAAUUCUCAUGGGUGGUAAGGUGCUCGGGGUGGUUCCGCACAUACCUGUUCAUUCUUACUGCCAAUCGUAACGCUGAGCGAUUUGAUGUUAGCUGUUGUCGAGUGAAACUGUAGCGUUACGCUUACAACUUACAGCGAUGGAUGUCUCGGUUCGAACAACGAUGAAGGGCGCAGCGAAGUGCGAUAAGCAUUGUGAAUUGCAGAAUUCCGUGAACCGACAGGGACUUGAACGCGCAUUGUGCUUUUGGGAUAUCCCUAAAAGCAUGCCUGCUUCAGUGUCUAUGUUGUGUUGUUCCAGCAAUGUCUGCACUGCGUUUGUGCAUUGCUGUGAACAUUUAUGCCUCAAGAUGUUUGGCCCUAUUCGGGUGUCGGUGAGGCAUUGGAUUUACAAGGCUUUGGUGCGACAAUCGGCUUAGUAAGGCAUUUGGGUUGCUUUUCGCUGUAGCUGUCACAUCCUGAAGCUUGCUGUCACAAUUUGAACUCUUAUUGUUGAGACAUGAAGUUAGGUUGGCAAACCCGCUGAAUUUAAGCAUAUCAAUA
RNAcentral lists this ribosomal RNA (648 nucleotides) under uncultured eukaryote. Its description in RNAcentral is "eukaryotic LSU rRNA". The stretch from base 235 to 389 matches the Rfam family "5.8S ribosomal RNA". The record is from RNAcentral.